CCCUUAGAGUUUGAUCCUGGCUCAGAACGAACGCUGGCGGCAGGCUUAACACAUGCAAGUCGAACGCCCCGCAAGGGGAGUGGCAGACGGGUGAGUAACGCGUGGGAAUCUACCCAGUUCUUCGGAAUAACUGAGGGAAACUUCAGCUAAUACCGGAUACGCCCUAUGGGGGAAAGAUUUAUCGGGAUUGGAUGAGCCCGCGUGAGAUUAGCUAGUUGGUGGGGUAAUGGCCCACCAAGGCGACGAUCUCUAGCUGGUCUGAGAGGAUGAUCAGCCACACUGGGACUGAGACACGGCCCAGACUCCUACGGGAGGCAGCAGUGGGGAAUAUUGGACAAUGGGCGCAAGCCUGAUCCAGCCAUGCCGCGUGAGUGAUGAAGGCCUUAGGGUUGUAAAGCUCUUUCAGUGGGGAAGAUAAUGACGGUACCCACAGAAGAAGCCCCGGCUAACUUCGUGCCAGCAGCCGCGGUAAUACGAAGGGGGCUAGCGUUGUUCGGAUUUACUGGGCGUAAAGCGCACGUAGGCGGAUGGUUAAGUCAGGGGUGAAAUCCCGCAGCUCAACUGCGGAACUGCCUUUGAUACUGGCCAUCUUGAGUCCGGAAGAGGUGAGUGGAACUCCUAGUGUAGAGGUGGAAUUCGUAGAUAUUAGGAAGAACACCAGUGGCGAAGCGGCUCACUGGUCCGGUACUGACGCUGAGGUGCGAAAGCGUGGGGAGCAAACAGAUUAGAUACCCUGGUAGUCCACGCCGUAAACUAUGAGAGCUAGCCGUUGGGACGUUUACGUCUCAGUGGC
This 793-nucleotide ribosomal RNA is filed under the name uncultured bacterium. Its description in RNAcentral is "bacterial SSU rRNA". It matches the Rfam family "Bacterial small subunit ribosomal RNA", at positions 1 to 847 of the family's 1533-position model. The record is from RNAcentral.